GAGUGUUGAUGAAGAGAAGAAUCCCUUUAAGAAAUAAUUUCUGCUGGGCCAUUAGUUUGUGCAAGCUCAGGUGUUUUUAGGGCAGGGAGCUCAGUACCAAACCUCCAAACAGCUUCAAUCCUCCCCUCACUUAAACCUGACCCUGGGGCACUCAGCCACCCCAGAUUCCUGCCAGGAGCACCGGAGGAGGCUGAGACAGGAGGCUUGCCACAAAUUCAAAGCCAGCCUGGGCUACACAGGGAGACUCCAUCUCAUACCUACACAUGAGCCUCCUGUUGGUGACAGAGCUGACGUCCAGCGGAGGCUCCCUGAUGAUGCAGGCCUGCCCCUCACACCCUGAGGACCAGGCUGGCUGGGGCCAGGAGGAGGACAGGACGCCGAGAGGUCAUCAUGGAGCCAACACAGCCCUUGCCUGUUCCCCUCAUCCCUCCCCUCAGGCUGAGACCAGGAGGAUAAGGAAGGGGGGCUGGCUCCUCCCCAGAGCCUCAGUGGACCUCCUUUCACCAGGAAGAAGACAAGACGGAAAGAAAGCCAGGACCGCUCAGCACAGGCCUCGGAGCCGGCUUCCAGCAGAGGCUAUAACGGUUCAGACCCGCCGAGUGCUCAGGGCCACCCUCUGAGAACAGGUCGGGAUUUACGCUGCCACCAAAGUUCCGUCAGGACUUAAAAUGAGCAAGCCCAGCUCUUCAUCUCACCCUGCAGCUCACCGAUGGGGACAUUUUUACUUCACAGUCAUUCAAUUCAUAUUCCUUGAGGAACGUUUUUUGGGUUUAGAUUUUGCAUUUGUAGUUAUGGAAAGACAAAAGUUGAAUAGAAAAGAAAAUAACAAUACUGACAUCAUUUUUAAAGACAAAGGGGAAACAGUAUAAAUCAGGUUCCAUCCUUUCCUACAGUCCUAUUUGCUCUGAGAUAACAGGAUCCUAUGGGUUUUCUUGAACUCGAGGCUCACGGUUGCUGGGCAUUGCUCCCACUGCUGGGUGGACGGACCCUAUGACCAAAAGAUGGUAAACUCCCCUCAAAAGGCUAGGCCGCACCGAUAGAGGCCGUCCCAAACCCACAAAAGCUUGUAAGUGAGCCAUAGAGCUCUCAGAUUGAGUCCAAAGCCACGGAAUCACUUGCCAAGACAACCAACAAUGACUGCCAGAAUACACAAAAUUCUUCACACAACAACGUAAAAUUUACAACUGUCUGUCUCCUAUCCAAAAUCACCAAUCAUCAAGUAAGCAAGAAACUUUGACCCAAAACCAGAAGAAAAAAAUCAGCAGACACAAAAGAGAUCAAAAAUGAUCGUGACGACAGAGUCACAGCAACGGACCUGAGACAGCCUGCAGCCAAAGGCAGUCAAAGGACACCUUGGGUCUCUAACUUCUCAAAAAUCGCGUUAAGUUACACUAAGUAAGAGCAUUGUGGAGAACAGCAGAAUAAGUGUCCAAAGCAAGGGGGUAUCGCAAGUGGGAUUAGGGGCAGUAUAUCUCUUCCUGAAUUAAAUUUUAAAUAUUUUAAACAUUGGCUGUGUUUUUCAACCAUACCAUGAACAUCCUACAAAAUACAUUCUGUUAGCUAAAGAAAAACACCACAUAGUGAAGGACUAGGAUAUGCAAAAGCCUCGGGGUCAGGGGGAGGCAGAAGGAAAUCCGGGCGUUGAAACUAUUUUCUCCGUGAAGGGCAAAAAUCAGACACUGCAAGAAGCGGCCCAGGACUUGGAGAGUGCAGGGAGAAGAAAUCUAGAAACAAGGAUGGAGAGGGAAAAGCUGAGAACGAGAAGGUCUCUGGGAACUGAGGGAGGCUUCCCAGGCACGAGCCCGGGUCACUGUCACUCAUGUCGCAGAAGAGGGACAGAGGACACUGGGAGAAACAGUUAUGACAGCAGAGCUUCCAGCCGCUGAGCGCUGCCAGCCAGGGGCCCGCCGGGCCCUGCAGAGCAGAGGCACCAAGAACCCGCACGCAGCCCGGGUGCAGAGAAACUUCCACAGCAGGAAGGUGUUUUCCAGAGCCCCACGGACCACACAGACAGGCAAAGGGGGGCGCACCAGGACCGCCCCCCUGCAGGAGCCCGCGGCCAGCACCUGGGAGCAGCGGCAUCAGGCGCCGGCAGGAACAGCUCCGAAAAGCUUAAUCAAGGUUUUCAUCGAAGACAAAGUUUGUAUCAUUAUCUGUUGCUGUCUUGCAGGAAUCUCUUUGGUUUAUGUCGUGUGCUAAGUGACAAUUUUGAAAAUAAUGGUAUACAGUGCAAUAACUACCAUUCAUCUCUUAUGAUUUGCUUAUUAAAUUUGUUUCAAUUUUUCAUAAAAGAAAGACAACACCAGGCCCAGGUAGCGGCACGGGGUAAUUCUUCCACUUAAUUACAGAAAACAUAAUUCAAACAUGUGCAAAAAUCCUACAGAAACUAGAAUAGAAAGGAACACGGAUUCCUCAUCCAUAAGGUACGUUCAGAGUCAUUUCCACAGCAAAACCCAGAGUCGUGGGGAGAAAGCUGUAGACGUAUGUUAGCAGGUCCAAUCCAACUGUCGUGUAUCACCGUAAACCCAGAUUUGGUAGCAUUAUUUUUAAAUGACUUAAUUCCUCAUGACCAAGUAGAGUUUAUGAUGGGAAGGUAAUCUUGGUUUAAU
Molecule: long non-coding RNA, 2609 nt
Organism: Cavia porcellus (domestic guinea pig)
Lineage: Eukaryota; Metazoa; Chordata; Mammalia; Rodentia; Caviidae
Source: Ensembl